AGUGAACGCUGGCGGUAGGCCUAACACAUGCAAGUCGAACGGCAGCACAGUAAGAGCUUGCUCUUACGGGUGGCGAGUGGCGGACGGGUGAGGAAUACAUCGGAAUCUACUUUUUCGUGGGGGAUAACGUAGGGAAACUUACGCUAAUACCGCAUACGACCUACGGGUGAAAGCAGGGGAUCUUCGGACCUUGCGUGAUUGAAUGAGCCGAUGUCGGAUUAGCUAGUUGGCGGGGUAAAGGCCCACCAAGGCGACGAUCCGUAGCUGGUCUGAGAGGAUGAUCAGCCACACUGGAACUGAGACACGGUCCAGACUCCUACGGGAGGCAGCAGUGGGGAAUAUUGGACAAUGGGCGCAAGCCUGAUCCAGCCAUACCGCGUGGGUGAAGAAGGCCUUCGGGUUGUAAAGCCCUUUUGUUGGGAAAGAAAAGCAGCACGUUAAUACCCCGCUGUUCUGACGGUGCCCAAAGAAUAAGCACCGGCUAACUUCGUG
RNAcentral lists this ribosomal RNA (492 nucleotides) under uncultured bacterium. Its description in RNAcentral is "partial 16S ribosomal RNA". It matches the Rfam family "Bacterial small subunit ribosomal RNA", at positions 29 to 507 of the family's 1533-position model. The record is from RNAcentral.